CUUGCAGUAUGUAGAAUUCAUACGCGGCAGGAGGGAAUUCAGUUAAGUAUUUCCAAUGGAACACUGGUUCCCUUCUGCGGCAUAUUAAUUCUGCAGGCCAGCACUUUUCAUGUCUUACCUAUUUAAUUAAGGAAGGUAAUUACAUCUAAGAAAAUAGUAGACGUGCGUAGAAAUCACCGAAUCAAUCGGUCUGGGGUUUACGUGACAGACCGAUUUGUUCAGUGCAAAUAGAGUGUAUCUGAUGACGUUACACAACGUUCUAUUCACUUAACAACGAAUUGGGAAGGCUUAGAGCAGGCUUCCCCAAACGCCGGCCC
Molecule: non-coding RNA, 317 nt
Organism: Pelobates cultripes (western spadefoot toad)
Lineage: Eukaryota; Metazoa; Chordata; Amphibia; Anura; Pelobatidae
Source: the annotation of a GenBank genome assembly